ACUCCUACGGGAGGCAGCAGGUGGGAAUUAUUGCACAAUGGGGGAAACCCUGAUGCAGCCAUGCCGCGUGUGUGAAGAAGGCCUUCGGGUUGUAAAGCACUUUCAGUAGGGAGGAAGGUAGUGUAGUUAACACCUGCAUUAUUUGACGUUUACCUACAGAAGAAGCACCGGCUAACUCCGGUGCCAGCAGCCGCGGUAAUACGGAGGGUGCGAGCGUUAAUCGGAAUUACUGGGCGUAAAGCGCAUGCAGGCGGCCUGUUAAGUCAGAUGUGAAAGCCCGGGGCUUAACCUCGGAAUUGCAUUUGAAACUGGCAGGCUAGAGUCUUGUAGAGGGGGGUAGAAUUUCAGGUGUAGCGGUGAAAUGCGUAGAGAUCUGAAGGAAUACCAGUGGCGAAGGCCGGCCCCUGGACAAAGACUGACGCUCAGAUGCGAAAGCGUGGGGAGCAAACAGGAUUAGAU
This 459-nucleotide ribosomal RNA is filed under the name uncultured bacterium. Its description in RNAcentral is "bacterial SSU rRNA". It matches the Rfam family "Bacterial small subunit ribosomal RNA", at positions 335 to 783 of the family's 1533-position model. The record is from RNAcentral.